RNAcentral lists this ribosomal RNA (494 nucleotides) under uncultured bacterium. RNAcentral describes it as "bacterial SSU rRNA". It matches the Rfam family "Bacterial small subunit ribosomal RNA", at positions 903 to 1397 of the family's 1533-position model. The record is from RNAcentral.
AAAGGAAUAGACGGGGACCCGCACAAGCGGUGGAGCAUGUGGUUUAAUUCGAAGCAACGCGAAGAACCUUACCAGGUCUUGACAUCCCGAUGACAGGAGAGUAAAAUCUUUUUUCCUACGGGACAUCGGUGACAGGUGGUGCAUGGUUGUCGUCAGCUCGUGUCGUGAGAUGUUGGGUUAAGUCCCGCAACGAGCGCAACCCUUAUUUUUAGUAGCCAGCGGUUCGGCCGGGCACUCUAGAGAGACUGCCAGGGAUAACCUGGAGGAAGGUGGGGAUGACGUCAAAUCAUCAUGCCCCUUAUGAUCUGGGCUACACACGUGCUACAAUGGCGUAAACAAAGGGAAGCAAACCUGUGAGGGGGAGCAAAUCCCAAAAAUAACGUCUCAGUUCGGAUUGUAGUCUGCAACUCGACUACAUGAAGCUGGAAUCGCUAGUAAUCGCGAAUCAGAAUGUCGCGGUGAAUACGUUCCCGGGUCUUGCACACACCGCCCGU